CAUUACCGAGUUUACAACUCCCAAACCCAUGUGAACAUACCUUACAGUUGCUUCGGCGGAGCCGCCCCGGCGCCCGGAACCCAGUUUCGCGGCCCGGACCAAGGCGCCCGCCGGAGGCCACAAACUCUUCUGUUUUUACAGUAUCUUCUGAGUGUGCCGCAGGCAAAAACAAAUGAAUCAAAACUUUCAACAACGGAUCUCUUGGUUCUGGCAU
RNAcentral lists this unclassified non-coding RNA (214 nucleotides) under uncultured Trichoderma. RNAcentral's name for it is "sequence contains ITS1". The record is from RNAcentral. Lineage: Eukaryota; Fungi; Ascomycota; Sordariomycetes; Hypocreales; Hypocreaceae.